RNAcentral lists this long non-coding RNA (241 nucleotides) under Mytilus galloprovincialis (Mediterranean mussel). The record is from RNAcentral. Lineage: Eukaryota; Metazoa; Mollusca; Bivalvia; Mytilida; Mytilidae.
AAACAACACGAACCCCACCAAAAAACUAGGGGUGAUCUCAGGUGCUCCGGAAGGGCAAGCAGAUCCUGCUCCACAUGUGGCACCCGUCGUGUUGCUUAUGUGAUAACACAUCCAGUAAAUAGUCUAAUUCGGUAGGUCACAUUCAUGAAAGGGAAGGGGAUUGUAGUUACGACGUAAGGAACAUAUCUGAUAUCAUUUGUGAAACGGUUAUUCCAUAACGGUCAACCAACUCGUGAUUGCG